AUGGAAGCUGGAUAGAGCAACGGCCUUCUAAGCCGUCGGUCGGGAGUUCGAAUCUCUCCUGGGACGUACCA
This 71-nucleotide transfer RNA is filed under the name Bacillus subtilis. RNAcentral describes it as "tRNA-Arg". The stretch from base 4 to 59 matches the Rfam family "tRNA", at positions 7 to 64 of the family's 71-position model. Rfam says of the family: Transfer RNA (tRNA) molecules are approximately 80 nucleotides in length. Lineage: Bacteria; Bacillati; Bacillota; Bacilli; Caryophanales; Bacillaceae. RNAcentral also lists the same sequence under 3 other names. The record is from RNAcentral.